This 1554-nucleotide long non-coding RNA is filed under the name Canis lupus familiaris (dog). RNAcentral's name for it is "lncRNA (ENSCAFG00845012155.1)". The record is from RNAcentral. Lineage: Eukaryota; Metazoa; Chordata; Mammalia; Carnivora; Canidae.
ACACACACAGAGAGGCAGAGACACAGGCAGAGGGAGAAGCAGGCUCCCAGUCGGACCCCGAUGCGGGAUGUGCGAUCCCAGGAUUCCAGGAUCAUGACUUGAGCUAAAGGCAGAUGCUCAACCACUGAGCCACUCAGGUGUCCCCCUCUACUUAAGCUUACAAUUAGGUGAGGGGUAUUUAACCUGUUAACUCAAUUACAACCCGACCCACAGAGUAAAAAAAAAAAAAAAAACAAUUCAGUAAGGGAGGGCUCAGAAGGAAGGGAUUUUUGCCUAGGGCUGCACUGUCCAAUACGGUCCCAGUGAAAUUAUUAAAAUAAAAAAUUCAGUUCCUCGGUCACACUCACCACAGGUCAAGUGCUCAAAUCACAAGAGGCUAGUGACCACAGAGGUCUACUGGCCAACACUGGGCUAGAGGCACCAAGAAGGAGAAGACAUUUACAGCUAGAUGGGUGAGCGAGAAAGCUGUCCCGGGCAGACCUGGGCAAAAGCAGUCAAGAUGAAGAACGUUCACGAAUCUGAAAAUGGACCAAAUCUGGCUAGUUUGAACCCCGGGCAUUAGAGCCUUGAACCAAUGACUCCAAACAAGAACAGUGUUCUGCAAUCAAGCUCUUUGGGUUCAAAUCCCAGCUCUGUCACUAAACAGGACCUGGGCAAAUUAUUUCUAGGACUUGGGUCUCUUCACCUGCCCGAUGGGGAUACCACUCCCUACACCUUGGGGGCUUGUUGUAAGAACUAAAUGCAAUAACACGCAUAGAAAGGCCUUAUUCUAACGCCCAUCACAUAGAAGUUGCACAAUAAAAUGAAAGCUAUCAUCAUCAUCAUCAUCAUCAUCAUCACUACUCCAACACCUGUUGGAGGAAGCUGCGAAAGUGUAAUUACCCGUGUGGCUCCUCUGGUGGAUUGCCAAAAAGUGAUUAUACUUAAACACUUUGCCACAGUCCUUACAGCAGGCCUCGGGGCCACCGGGGCGCUUUCUCCUUCCACAGACCCUUUUGGCUGAACCCUGCUCGUCUUCAUCCCCGACAAGUUUGUAAUCUUUAAGUUUGACGGACCUCCUGAUCCUCCGCUUGCUGUACCGACUCUGGCUAUCCUGCCCAUCCUGGGUCUUGGGGUCACAGUUCUCAUCUUUCUCAGCAGGCAUUUCCUCCCCUCUACCUGGCUCACAGGCCGACUCAGAAUCCUCCAUUUCUUUUGCUGGAAUCUGGUCAUUCAGCAAGCCACUCUCUCCCUCUUUGACCACAAAGUUAUGCCUAUUUUGAACGGAGUUGUUUACCCUCAGCUGUAUUUCUUCCUCUGCAGCCAGCUGUGAUUUCCCCUCCUGCAAACUGUUGACUUUUCUCGGUCUUCCCCGUUUCCGUUUUGGGGGGUCGUUCUUCUUAUUAGAAAUAACCACCACUGGAGUGCUGCCGGUGUUCAGAGUCGAUGGCUUCGGGGAGCUGUGAUUAUUCUGGAAAUCUGUGUAAGCCUUUACCAGGUCAUAGACUUUUAAGAACUGAGCGGUGGCCAGGAUUUGUUCUGUACUUUUCUCACUGGCCUGGAGACAACCCGUGU